CCACGGGCAUCAGCAGUGGGGAAUAUUGGACAAUGGGCGAAAGCCUGAUCCAGCCAUGCCGCGUGUGUGAAGAAGGCCUUCGGGUUGUAAAGCACUUUCAGUGGGGAAGAAAGCCUUGGGGCUAAUACCCUCGAGGAAGGACAUCACCCACAGAAGAAGCACCGGCUAACUCCGUGCCAGCAGCCGCGGUAAUACGGAGGGUGCGAGCGUUAAUCGGAAUUACUGGGCGUAAAGCGCGCGUAGGCGGUCUGAUAAGCCGGUUGUGAAAGCCCCGGGCUCAACCUGGGAACGGCAUCCGGAACUGUCAGGCUAGAGUGCAGGAGAGGAAGGUAGAAUUCCCGGUGUAGCGGUGAAAUGCGUAGAGAUCGGGAGGAAUACCAGUGGCGAAGGCGGCCUUCUGGACUGACACUGACGCUGAGGUGCGAAAGCGUGGGUAGCAAACAGGAUUAGAUACCCGAGUAGUC
This 464-nucleotide ribosomal RNA is filed under the name Vreelandella stevensii. RNAcentral describes it as "partial 16S ribosomal RNA". It matches the Rfam family "Bacterial small subunit ribosomal RNA", at positions 339 to 795 of the family's 1533-position model. Lineage: Bacteria; Pseudomonadati; Pseudomonadota; Gammaproteobacteria; Oceanospirillales; Halomonadaceae. The record is from RNAcentral.